ACUUUUGGUCCCCCAGCGACGACAGUCUCGAGGUGCCGGCGAGCCUGGCCAUGAUUGUGUGUGUGUGUGCGCGCGCGCUCGCGUUCCGCUUGGCUGAGAGCGGUUUUCCAACUGUGGCUCGGGGGCUUAUUGGACCGGCCGCUUGGGUGACGCUGCGGCGCGGCUGCGGGGCUCUCUGGACUGUGGACCUGAUCGACGUGGCAUCGCAUGACCUGGGCUGGCUGCUUGGUUAAUGCUGCACUACAGCUGUGAGGCUGCCUGGACCGGUCGUGUUCGGCUGCAGGAAAAUGCUACCCCUUUGUGGCGAAGGACAUCUUCAGUCUUCGAGGCUUCCCGGUUCGGCCUCCUGUGUGAUGCACCGUAGUUGCAGCGUGAGACUUUCCCCCGCCGCUAACGACUCUUUCUGGGCUAGCUAGCUGAGUGACUCUGUGCUGUGGUCACUGAAAUUUCUUCCGCUAGCUGUGGGAAUCGUGGAGUGUGUGUGUGUGUGUGUGUUCUGUGUUAUGUACUGUUGAUUAUGUAUUGAUUGUAAAGCGUCCUUGAGCAUGGGAAAGGCGCUAUAUAAAUAAAAGUGAUGAUGAAGAUGAUGAAGAAUACUCAGUAUGCUGCCCUAAAGAAAUUACAGCACUUACAAAGACAUAUUUAACAUAUUUAGAGUUUAUUUAGGGCCUUUUUCCACUUAACAAAAUACCAGAACCUGUGGAGCCAGCAAACUAGAAUUAUUGGCCGUUGGUCCAAUACUAAAGGUUUCUGUGUCUGUUUUCAGGUAACUGCUCAAGAUUUGCACCAAAAGGACCUAAUGAUAGCAUUCUCUCAUUCUCUUUGGGUAACAUUUGCAUCUGAAGCCGAUGACAAUUUAACGAAUUAUUUACUCUUCCAGGUGAAGAUAAAGUCACCAAGCACUAUUACACGAUCCGUAAAUGUACCACAACAUAAAAACUUAAAUGUUAUGUGCUACUUCAAUGUUAUGUCCACUGCUAUUUUAGUGUUUUAACUACUGUGGCUGUGACAAUCACCGCAUCACCAUACCUACCAGGGCUUGAGCUUAUUACCAUUAUCACUGCAUUUUUUCUGUAUUUCAUAUUUUCAUAGUUGAUUCACCAUCAUUAAAUUCCGCUUUCACCACUUUACUACUUUACUAACAGCUCUUUCUUCGUGAGCUAAAAAAGACACGGCUGUAACGUUAGCUGAGAUCCGUUUAUCUAAAAGUCUGACUGCCUUUCUCUGUGUAAAUUUUAUGCCAUGUGAUCUUUCAUGGCUUCCUGUGGUCUUGAUAUGGCUUUAAUUUAACAUAGCAAUGACAAAAUACUAAGAGGCACACUGAGAUGCUGAGAAACUGAACAGGGCUCAGAGUCAUUGAGUGCUAGUGCUGGUGUGCUCGCCUUUUUUUGCAACAACAGUUUUGAAUGCUUGGACAUUUCAGUGACAGCUGAAACACACCAUAGAACACACUCGAUUUUGGCUGUUACUCAGUCACUCAGCUUUACGCCAUCAGAUACCCUCUAAAUGGGUGUCACUGUAGCAUUUGUUAGUUGGAAUCAAGCCUGUGUACAUUGUUUGGCCUGCGAAUUGAGGUGCUACAGUCCCAGACAGCGCAAAACAGGUUCCAGUUUAGCUUUCUGUCACUCAUUUGACAUUUGCUCUCUCAGAUAUGAUCAUCUACACUUGAGAAGAACACCGCUUAGUCAGAAUGUCUGACUCUACCAGCCGCCAGCUCUCAACUAACUCUCAGUUCAUUCUGCUCUACGGACAUAUCCCCUGAGGAAAACUAGCCCCACCUUCACAAUAAAAAACC
Molecule: long non-coding RNA, 1795 nt
Organism: Colossoma macropomum (tambaqui)
Lineage: Eukaryota; Metazoa; Chordata; Actinopteri; Characiformes; Serrasalmidae
Exons: 2
Source: RefSeq, a predicted model, not a curated record